RNAcentral lists this unclassified non-coding RNA (328 nucleotides) under soil metagenome. RNAcentral's name for it is "partial contains 5.8S ribosomal RNA, internal transcribed spacer 2, and large subunit ribosomal RNA". The stretch from base 1 to 120 matches the Rfam family "5.8S ribosomal RNA", at positions 35 to 154 of the family's 154-position model. The record is from RNAcentral.
GUUGAAGAACGUAGCGAAAUGCGAUAAGUAGUGUGAAUUGCAGAAUUCAGUGAAUCAUCGAAUCUUUGAACGCACAUUGCGCCCCUUGGUAUCCCGAGGGGCAUGCCUGUUCGAGCGUCAUUUCACCACUCAAGCCUGGCUUGGUGUUGGGCGACGUCCCCUUUGGGGACGCGCCUCGAAACGCUCGGCGGCGUGGCACCGGCUUUAAGCGUAGCAGAAUCUUUCGCUUUGGAAGUCGGGGCCCCGUCUGCCGGAAGACCUACUCGCAAGGUUGACCUCGGAUCAGGCAGGGAUACCCGCUGAACUUAAGCAUAUCAUAAGCGGAGGA